Molecule: transfer RNA, 73 nt
Filed under: Conexibacter arvalis
Lineage: Bacteria; Bacillati; Actinomycetota; Thermoleophilia; Solirubrobacterales; Conexibacteraceae
Description: Conexibacter sp. KV-962 tRNA
Rfam family: tRNA
About the family: Transfer RNA (tRNA) molecules are approximately 80 nucleotides in length. Their secondary structure includes four short double-helical elements and three loops (D, anti-codon, and T loops). Further hydrogen bonds mediate the characteristic L-shaped molecular structure. tRNAs have two regions of fundamental functional importance: the anti-codon, which is responsible for specific mRNA codon recognition, and the 3' end, to which the tRNAs corresponding amino acid is attached (by aminoacyl-tRNA synthetases). tRNAs cope with the degeneracy of the genetic code in two manners: having more than one tRNA (with a specific anti-codon) for a particular amino acid; and 'wobble' base-pairing, i.e. permitting non-standard base-pairing at the 3rd anti-codon position.
Source: Rfam by way of RNAcentral
GCCGGAGUAGCUCAGUUGGUAGAGCACCUGUCUUGUAAACAGGGGGUCACGGGUUCGAGUCCCGUCUCCGGCU